AGUGAACGCUGGCGGUAUGCCUAACACAUGCAAGUCGAACGGCAGCACAGUAAGAGCUUGCUCUUACGGGUGGCGAGUGGCGGACGGUUGAGGAAUACAUCGGAAUCUACUUUUUCGUGGGGGAUAACGUAGGGAAACUUACGCUAAUACCGCAUACGACCUACGGGUGAAAGCAGGGGAUCUUCGGACCUUGCGCGAUUGAAUGAGCCGAUGUCGGAUUAGCUAGUUGGCGGGGUAAAGGCCCACCAAGGCGACGAUCCGUAGCUGGUCUGAGAGGAUGAUCAGCCACACUGGAACUGAGACACGGUCCAGACUCCUACGGGAGGCAGCAGUGGGGAAUAUUGGACAAUGGGCGCAAGCCUGAUCCAGCCAUACCGCGUGAGUGAAGAAGGCCUUCGGGUUGUAAAGCUCUUUCGUUAGGAAAGAAAAGCAGAACGUUAACAUAGCGCUGUAAUGACGGUACCCAAAGAAUAAGCACCGGCUAACUUCGUG
This 492-nucleotide ribosomal RNA is filed under the name uncultured bacterium. Its description in RNAcentral is "partial 16S ribosomal RNA". It matches the Rfam family "Bacterial small subunit ribosomal RNA", at positions 29 to 507 of the family's 1533-position model. The record is from RNAcentral.